Long non-coding RNA from Drosophila erecta, 574 nucleotides. RefSeq lists it as uncharacterized. The record is from RefSeq and is a predicted model, not a curated record. Lineage: Eukaryota; Metazoa; Arthropoda; Insecta; Diptera; Drosophilidae. The transcript is spliced from 2 exons.
CGGGAAUCUGAUAGUCGGGGAACUCGACUAUAGCUUUUUAUCUUGUUUUGUUUUAAUUUCUAUACAGAAAUAGUACAAAUUAAUGAAGGAAUUGAAAUAAAGAUUUAUGAUAAGGCGCUUAAAAAAGUUGCCAUUUUUUAAAUUUAAAUUAUACAUUUUUUUUAGAAUCGAUAGCUCCCUCUCUAACUGUUACGUACAUACUUUUUAACAAACAUAGUUUGCUAGGAAUAACGUAUAAAUGUCGAUUUCAUGUUUGUUUAAUUAGUUUUCUCUGUGAUGCUUUCCCAUUUAUACCGUGAGAGCCAAACGUCUUUUUUACAUACAUAUGUAUGAGAAAACAUAUACAAUGUAUGUAUACGCUAUAAUUCCCAGUCGCAAAUUCGGGAACGUGUCAGGGAAAAUAUAGAAACUUGAUAUAGGCAUUGCAUUGAAGUCUUCGUAUAGUAGACUUCUAUAAUGCAAUUAGAUGUAGUACAUAGGUACUCUUUUGGAUAUGUUAGGGAAAAUAAGAAACUCAAAAUUUGCCGAUUGCUCAUAUUUUUACAAUCAUGCAUAUUCUGGUAAAGGCCGAACU